GUAAGUAAAUAUAGGUUAUCUCUAUAUAUGUAUGUAUUACAUAUAAUACAUCAACUAUAAUAUGCUAUAAUAGAAGUAUGUGGAUUCAGCUAAAUUUGUAUGACCUCUUGAGAGAUUUUCUGAGAUAGUCCUACAAUAUUUUUUAUUGUACAUGGGUUAAAUGCCAAGGACUGUGACAGGUGUCUUAGAUAAUUUAUUCAUUUAUGCUUAAAACCUGAGACAGUAUUAUUUCCUACUUUCUGAAAAGUGAAACUCAGAGAAAUUAACUUGACCAAGUACAUGUAGCUAGCUAAGUGUUAGAGUUGGAUGAAAACCCAAUUCUGUUAGGUAUUGUUAGCUCUCAGUUUGUAUUUUAUCUCUUUUCUCCAUUGUAGUGUUGGAUCAGUAAGCCCAUUUUUCCCUUUUAAAAUAUUUGGGAUACAUUAUUAAAUAUGAACAACUGAACAUAUCAAAUAUGAAAAAUCUAAGUUGAUUUGAUAUAUAGAGGGCUGCAUAGGAUGCCGUGCGAGUGUAAAGAAGGAGCAGUACAACUUAGUGAUUAUCAUGCCAGUGGUUAUGCCAAUUAGCGUAAUGUUGGAUAAGCAUGUUCAAAUUCUUGUAGACUCCGCUUUUACAGCUCUAGGCUUUUAUAGCUCUAAUUGAGGAUAAUAGCUCCUAACUUACGGAGUUGUUCUGAUGGUUUAAUUGAACCUGUGACUAUAUGGAAGAUCCUUAGCAUAGUGCCUGACAUAUAAUAAAUUAUCCUUGAGAACAUGUGUCUUGGGCUGAGUCUCUAGAAGGACCAAAACUUAGUCCUAGGGAAGAAGUGAGGGUAGGGUAAUCUAAGCAGAAAGUGGUUUGUGCAGAAGAGGGAAAGCAUGAUACCUGUGUUUGUUUGUUUGUUUUCGUUAAGUACUUUAGGAGACUGUAGCCAGAUGAAGAUAAUGAAAUACGAAGGGUUCUGAAUGGCGAGCUAAGGGUGAAAAACUUUGUCCUGACUUGUGGGGAGUUAUAAACAGAUUGUUAUGAGGGGAAACAACAUUUAAUUUGUUUAAAAAGUGAAGGCCUGAGGGACAAGUUAAAUGAUAUCAAGAAGCAAUAGACAUGUCAGGUGCGGUGGCUAAUGCCUGUAAUCCCAGCACUUUGGGAGGCCAAGGUGGGCCGAUCACUUGGAGUCCAGAGUUCAAGACCAGCCUGGACAACAUGGCGAAACCCUGUCUCCACUAAAGUUACAAACCUUAGCCGGGUGUGGUGGCGCACGCCUGUAGGCCCAGCUACUCAAGAGGCUGAGGCAGGAGAAUCACUUGAACCCGGGAGGUGGAGGCUGCAGUGAGCCAAGAUUGUGCCACUGCACUCAAGCCUGGGCCACAGAACAAGGCUCCACACACACACACAAAGCAAUAGGCAAAUCUUGAAUUUGGGGUAGUCUAGGACAAAGGUGGAGGCAGGGAACAUUAUUCUAGAUUGAAAAAGAUUUAAAAGAACUAAUAAGCAAAUGCAAUACAUGGCUCUUGUUUGGAUCCAGAUUCUAAUACAUCUAACAGAAAGCUCCUUUGGUCGAGAAGAAUUAGCUACAACUUACAUGAUAUUCUUAUAAGAAAAAGAGGUUGUUAUACUUCCCAUUUUACAGGUCAAAGAAAUGCGAUUCAAAAAAAGACACAUCGAUUUUCUAAAGAUACACAGUCAAUAGCUGAGCCAGGAUUCAAACCUGGUGUCCUCUCAAUAAUGUUAGUGCUUACAUUGUGAAAUACUGCCUCCUGUAGCAUGUUGCUGUGAUAGCUUUUGCUUGUGCAGUCCUAGGACACUGAAUUAAAACUUUAAGUUUGGGAAUAAUGGAUAAAUGGUGACUUUCUAGGGCUACUGCAUAUUUUCCUAUUCUGCUAGUCUAAAGAGAAUGUAUAGUAAAAGAACUUGCUAGGUCACCAAGACAGAGCCAGUUUCACAUGUCAAAACCAUGCACAUACUAUUACUGUCACUGUCGUUGGGUUAUGAGGAAAGUGAGAGGAAGAAGAAGAGUUAAGAAAGUGUCUAGGGAAAGGAGGCAGUAUUUCACAAUGUAAG
This 2040-nucleotide long non-coding RNA is filed under the name Homo sapiens (human). RNAcentral's name for it is "HSALNT0080374". The record is from RNAcentral. Lineage: Eukaryota; Metazoa; Chordata; Mammalia; Primates; Hominidae.